Clostridium magnum DSM 2767 is the source of this 183-nucleotide non-coding RNA. NCBI's taxonomy places the organism in Bacteria, Bacillati, Bacillota, Clostridia, Eubacteriales, Clostridiaceae. The record is from Rfam.
UCCAUCGUGAGGUGCAAUCUGAAGGAAGCCUGCAGCAAAAGUCUGGUCUGACGAACAGAAAUCACAUAUAAGGCUUACUUAAAUCGGGUGAGCAUGCACAACAAAGUUCAUCGAAAGCAAACUCAAACUUAAAGUAAACAAGGAUAAAAGUGCAGUUGAUAGACCUUGGAGAAGGAAAUUUCU